This 1028-nucleotide ribosomal RNA is filed under the name Arcopilus cupreus. RNAcentral's name for it is "eukaryotic LSU rRNA". It matches the Rfam family "Eukaryotic large subunit ribosomal RNA", at positions 51 to 1116 of the family's 3401-position model. The record is from RNAcentral. Lineage: Eukaryota; Fungi; Ascomycota; Sordariomycetes; Sordariales; Chaetomiaceae.
CGGAGGAAAGAACAACAGGGAUUGCCCUAGUAACGGCGAGUGAAGCGGCAACAGCUCAAAUUUGAAAUCUGGCCUCGGCCCGAGUUGUAAUUUGCAGAGGAAGCUUUAGGCGCGGCACCUUCUGAGUCCCCUGGAACGGGGCGCCAUAGAGGGUGAGAGCCCCGUAUAGUUGGAUGCCUAGCCUGUGUAAAGCUCCUUCGACGAGUCGAGUAGUUUGGGAAUGCUGCUCAAAAUGGGAGGUAAAUUUCUUCUAAAGCUAAAUACCGGCCAGAGACCGAUAGCGCACAAGUAGAGUGAUCGAAAGAUGAAAAGCACUUUGAAAAGAGGGUUAAAUAGCACGUGAAAUUGUUGAAAGGGAAGCGCUUGUGACCAGACUUGCGCCGGGCUGAUCAUCCGGUGUUCUCACCGGUGCACUCUGCCCGGCUCAGGCCAGCAUCGGUUCUCGCGGGGGGAUAAAGGCCCAGGGAACGUAGCUCCUCCGGGAGUGUUAUAGCCCUGGGUGCAAUGCCCUCGCGGGGACCGAGGUUCGCGCAUCUGCAAGGAUGCUGGCGUAAUGGUCACCAGCGACCCGUCUUGAAACACGGACCAAGGAGUCAAGGUUUUGCGCGAGUGUUUGGGUGUAAAACCCGCACGCGUAAUGAAAGUGAACGUAGGUGAGAGCUUCGGCGCAUCAUCGACCGAUCCUGAUGUUUUCGGAUGGAUUUGAGUAGGAGCGUUAAGCCUUGGACCCGAAAGAUGGUGAACUAUGCUUGGAUAGGGUGAAGCCAGAGGAAACUCUGGUGGAGGCUCGCAGCGGUUCUGACGUGCAAAUCGAUCGUCAAAUCUGAGCAUGGGGGCGAAAGACUAAUCGAACCAUCUAGUAGCUGGUUACCGCCGAAGUUUCCCUCAGGAUAGCAGUGUUGUCUUCAGUUUUAUGAGGUAAAGCGAAUGAUUAGGGACUCGGGGGCGCUUUUUAGCCUUCAUCCAUUCUCAAACUUUAAAUAUGUAAGAAGCCCUUGUUACUUAAUUGAACGUGGGCAUUCGAAUGU